UACGUAGGUGGCAAGCGUUGUCCGGAAUUAUUGGGCGUAAAGCGAGGGUAGGCGGUCUAGUAUGUCUGAGGUGAAAGCCCUGAGCUCAACUCAGGAAUGGCCUUGGAAACUGCUAGACUAGAGUCCUGGAGAGGGUCGCGGAAUUCCCGGUGUAGCGGUGAAAUGCGUAGAGAUCGGGAAGAACACCAGAGGCGAAGGCGGCGACCUGGACAGGCACUGACGCUAAACCUCGAAAGCGUGGAUAGCAAACAGG
RNAcentral lists this unclassified non-coding RNA (253 nucleotides) under uncultured Oligoflexales bacterium. Its description in RNAcentral is "contains 16S-23S intergenic spacer region". It matches the Rfam family "Bacterial small subunit ribosomal RNA", at positions 524 to 776 of the family's 1533-position model. Lineage: Bacteria; Pseudomonadati; Bdellovibrionota; Oligoflexia; Oligoflexales. The record is from RNAcentral.